UAGGUUUUUAAGUUUCUCGUGGCGAAUUGGAAACAACAAUGGGUCUAAUGAUUCAGUGGUUAGAUGUUCAAAUUAUUCCAAGUCUUGAGUUCAAGUUUUAAUGUGAGCAAAGGGGAAACUUUGUUUUAGUUUUUGGUUUCAACUUUUUCUCUUAUAAAAAAAAAAAAAGAUUGAUAGGGUUAUGUCUAAAUAGGAUUGUUUUUAUUUAUUUUAUUUUAAUUAGAUUUUUAAAGAAAAAAAGGGGAAAAAUAAUCCCAAAAACUUCUUUCACGUUCUUCCUCUUUUAUUUUCUUUUGUUUUCCCCAAUUUCCAGAUUUUUUAUUUAUUUUCUACUUAUUUCUUCCGUUUCUCAAUUCUCCUCUUCUUCUUUUUAGUUUCUACAUUUUUGUUAUUUUUUGUUUGCCAAGGGUGAUUGUUCCUGUGUGUUUCGUCUAAUUGGAUGUUGAAUCGGGUAGGUUUUGUCUAUUGGGGUUCAUGAAAGAUUUGCGUCUAUUUCUUUUAUGUUGUUUAAUUGAAAUUCUUAUAGUUUAGUUUGUAUGUGAAAUUAAAGUUUCAGAACAGUUUUUGUGGAGGUGAAUCAGUUAGUUCUUGGUGCUUGAGAUCUCGAUUAUCAGUUGUGUUUCUGAACUAUUAGAGAUUAGGGACCAUUUAGUUGUCUAAAUACACGAUUUUCAGCCUGAUUCAGUGUGGUUUCGUAACCACACAGGUAGGCACACAGGCGUGUGCGUCACAUGGGCGGUCCACACAAUCGUGUGACCACUAUUUGGGGAUUUUAUCGUUUUUUACACGGGCGUGUGCCUUGAACACACAGCCGUGUUUCUUAGCCACAAUAGCAUGUGAGUUUGCCAUACAGCCGCGUGGUUCUGUUUUGCAGAUUUUGUUAUGUGUUGUAAAACUGACUUAUUUUAGUUCCUAUGUAAUCCAAUGCUCGUUUAAGCCAUUUUAAAUGUGUUUGAGACUCUAGUACAAUUUGGUUUCGUGAAUGUAUAUGUACUUAGAGGAUCAAUUUGAUUGUUUGUUUAAGUGUUAAUGAUGUGAUGAAUGAAUUUGAGUUUCUUGUUGUUAUCGUUACUUAUUAAAUGAAUACACGUGUAACUGAUUCUAAACUUGUUCAACUGAAUACGUACCUCUGUUUUUGUAAGUCUGUUAGUGAAUUGUGUGCAUUCCUACAUUUGCAUAAAAAAUAUGGGAUUUUGGUUGUGAAGAGAAAGAAGACUGAUUUGGCAGUUAGACUACAAUAUUUCUGUACAACGGUUUACCGCAUUAUAUUAUACAUAUGUCAGUUCAGCUGCAUAUUUUUAUUCAAGUGGCUUAGUUCCACUUUUGUGGUGUGUAGGGUGAAUGGCCUAUUAUGGUCUUAUGCGGUGUGCAGGGUGGAUUGGCCUACUGUAGCCUUAAUGUGGUGUGCAGGGUGGACGAAGUGGUGUUUGGUUGGUGGGGUAGGUUUUUACUAUUCAUUGCUACUUAUUUGAGCAUGACUCUUUCUGUUUAUAUUUGAAUAUGAAUGUUAGAUCAUCAGUAAUUAAGUUGUGAAGUUAUUGUGGUAAUGUAAUAUGCAUGUUAUGAAUUUGUGAAGUUCUAUGUGCUUUCGGUUCGCAUAUUUGUUAUGAAUGUUGAUAUUGCGAAUACGUUAAUUUAGUGGGAGUUCCAAUUUACAAACAAUUCUAUUACGCUGUUUACAUUCGUUAAAUUUUGUUCCAACAUGACCUCACUACUUAGUUUUAAGACUCACACUGAGCUCGCGUAGCCCAUCCCUUUAGUUUCCUCUCUUUUCAGGUAAACUUUCAGCUUGAAGGUUGGACUCGACAAAUCGGUGGUCUCAAAAUUUUAAAGAGUUUGGUUUGUUUUAAUGAUGUUUCUUAAAAUUCAGUUUAUUAUUUUCAGUUGAUUGGUAAGGAAGAUUAUAAUACUGUGGUAUGAGUUUUUGUUUUCGGACAAUUAGUACAUUCUGAGUUUAUGAUUUUCAAAACUUAAAAUUUCUAAUGUUGUGCAUGAGUUUAAAACUAAAUAUGAUUUUCUGGCAAUAUAACAGUUUAGUUCUUUCGAUGUAAAUUUCUGACUUAAAGCUCGUUGGUUUAAACUUUCAAACCUAUUUUGGAUUGCAAAAUCAAUAGCUCAUUAAGUGUAAACUAGUUACAAGUAGAAUUUUAAACUUUUGUAAAGUAUAUUGGGAAAAGUCGUUUUGGUGGAGUGGGUGUAAAAGAAAAAAAUUUUGAAAAGAAUUUAUUUGUUUAAAUUCGGGAUUAGUAUUGUGCCUUUUUGGUGGCUAAUGUGACCUCCAAGAUCCGGUCAAAAUUUUUGGGCCGAGUUUUGGGGUGGUACAUAACUAAUCCUUAUAUUUUUUUUAAGCAAUUUAAUUCUUGCCCUUUUAUUUUCUUUUUCUUUUUCUUUUUGUUAUGCAUAGCUAAAAAUAAUUUGAUGAAUUGCUGUUGAUGAAAAGCUACAUUUAGAGAAAUUAUUAGAUAGAUCUUUCCUACCACGUGAUACAAUCCAUCCUAAUAAUUUUAUACCAUAUAAAUCUUUUUCCACAUCAGCUUUUUUUAUUCUCACCCAAAUCUAUCAUGUUUCUUUUUACCUUUUAUUCUUUCCCCUUCCUUCAUUAACUGGACUUAUCGUAGAUGGAAUUUUUUUCCUUAUAUGUUGAUCAUAUUACACUUUUCCAAAUUAACGUCAAUUAGGUUCUAGUAAAAUUGAAUUUCAUCUAAUUUUUCAACCACCUUCUUCACAUUAACUAUAUUUGAAUAACAUACAAAUCCCAACAUUAAUGCCCCUCUCAAUCUUUUUUAGGGUUUGGCUAAUACACUUUGGGGUUGAACUUUUUUAUAGUUAUGCUUUGCAUGUGGGUUUAGGGGUUCAACUAUAUGACUUUCUCUUGCGGUGGUUUUAAGGAGUGAUGUGUUUUUUCCCUUAUUCUAAGGUAUUGAUUUUGACUUUGUGUUCUUAAAAUUGUGGGAGCAUGUUUGUUUGUUUUAUAAUAUUUGGAGAUUGGAGACAGGUAAUUCAAAGUGAAAUUAUACAAAACGAUUCUAAGGAACUUUUUAAGAAUUUUGUUGGUGAUGGUGGAAAGUUGUGAUGACUUUAUUGGCUUUGUUAUAUAAUCUCUAAAAAAAGUAAAAAACUUAUGUAUUUGGUCACAUACAUCAACAUUUUAAUCUGAAUUAGUUCUCAUGUCACGUGCAUUGUACGUGAUUUUAUGAAUUUAUUUUUUAAAUUUUUUAAAUAAUAUAUUGUUAUAGUUUUAAAAUAAUAUAUAUUCUAAUUAAAUGAGAAUUGAUCUAAUUUAUAAUAAAAUGUCAUUAAUUUUGAAAAAUAAUUGAGAGAAUAAAAUAACAUCUUAAAAUUAAUGAAAAUGAAUAAUUGGGAAAGCAACUGAUAGUAAAAUAUUAAAUACUUAGAUAAAAUAAUUUUUCAUUCGAAUAUGAGUCAAAAUUUCAUCUACAAAGAACCAUUACACUAAUAUUUAAUUGCCUUUGACAUAAUAUUUUACAACAAAAUGAUAAACAACAUUGACAAUGUAACAUCCCUGACAUUUCCCGAGAAGUGAAUAGUGUCAAUUCUGGUUGACAUGUAUUCGAAAUUUUCAAAGAAGGCAGAAAUAGAAAUAUUAAUAUUAGUGGAUAGGAUAAUUAGAUAUUAUAGGAAAAUAAAAAUGCUUUUGAAUUUAGAGAAAUUAAAUUAAGGAUUGGACUCAAUUGUAAUAGCGUGAAAAGUAUUGGACUAUAGUGUAAAAUUUAAAAAUAAGACUUGAUAGAAUUAGAUGGAUGAGAAAAAGAGAAAGGACUUAGAGUGUAAAUUGACCAUGAAACUACUUGGAGAUGUAACAUAAUGAUGAUUAGAUUUUACUCUAAUUAAAUACUAAUUUUUUUUUUUAAAAAGAGAAAGGUCAGAAGAAAAAGAUGAUGGGUAGAUAUUUGGUAUAGAAAGAUGUAGAAAAAGGCAGGAAAAGGAAAAGAACUAUUUUGGUUACUUUUAUCUUUUUCCUCAUGUCUCCCUCAGCUCCAUUUCUAUCAAAUUUCAUUUUCUUUUAUUUUAGUCCUCCUCCACCAUAUUUUAAACCCUUUCAAGUUUUAAACUCUAAAUUCUUUCAUAGGUUUUUAGUGAAAAUAAUAGAACAACCCUAUAGUGAGAUUAUCAUAUUGUGAAGGAUUUUGAGUAAAUAAGGUAAGAAUGAUGAAUUUUCUUAAGGGAAUUCAUAUUUAUCUAUUUGAAAUGCGUGGAAAUGAUGUAUGAUUAUUGAAUUGAUGAGUAAAUAUUGUGUAUGUGUAUUAUGACAAAGAAGUGGAGAAAAAAGGAAAAAAGAUUCAUACAAGCAUUCUAUGUAAGUAUAUCAAAAAUUUUACUUUAUUUUAAUCAAGUCUCUAAUUGAAAAUUUGAUUGAUUGGUUUAGUAAUAUUCAUGGGAUUUAUUAAUGUAUAAAAAUAUGUAUUUUGAACUAUGAGAAUUAUUUGAAAGUGAAAGUAUUUUCUUAUAGUGAUUUGAAAAAUAUAUGUACUAAUUUGAAGAAUAAAGACUUAAUUGCAAUGUAACUCCCCAAAAUUUCUAAUUUCAUUAUUAUGAAAAUAUGACACAAAUAUCUGUCAGUUUUAGUUAUUAUGUGUUUUAGGAGUGUUUGGGAGGUCCCAAGUUCAAGCCUUCGCUUGGGCAAAUUUUGGUAUUUUGAAUGAAUCAGGCCUUACUCUUGUUCAGUAGGCUUUUAUUUGAUUAUUGGGUAAAUUACAUUAGAAUAGAUCUGCUGGUCUGGUGGUUAAAUGAUGUGUUAUUGGUGGAGGUCUUGUGUUCAAAUCCUUAUGCAAAUAAGGGUAUUUUUUUUUGCUCAAAUUUCGGGAUAGAGUUGUGUAAUAGGGGAUUCUGAGUAGUGGAUGUGUAGUGGGAAUUAGGGGAGAAGAUUAAGGGAUUUUGGGAGUUAUAGGGAUUUUAUUUUAUUUUUUUCCCAUAACUGAAUUUUGACUCUCUUUUCUAAAAAUAUUUUGCCGUCUAUUAUUCUCUCUCUCCUCUUGUCAAAAUUAUUUGAGUUUUUCCAUCUUUCUCUUCUUUUUCUUCUUCUUGAUUUUUCCCUAAUCCAUUUAUUUUCCUUUGUUUUUGCACGCGGUUAGUGCUAGCUUAGUUUUGGUAAGUGUUUAUCUUCAUUUCUGUCAUAAAUCUCUUAGCGACUGAAGUGGUAAUGUUUUUUGUCUGUGGUUUGGGCGUAGGAGGAGGCUCGGACUUGUGAUUUCAGUCUUCUCGUCAUAACAAUAGUUAAAUGGAGGGUUAUCGUUGAUGGUAAGAUGGGUUUCUUUUCGUUCUUGGUUGUCAAUUCACUUGUAAAUCCAUUAAAUUGAUAUUGAGUAUCUUGAUUAUAGGCUUUGGAGUGCUCGGGGACUAUUUUAACAUCAAACAAAACCAGGUGUGUACCCGAAAUGCAAAAAAAAAGGAUUCGACGAAAAGCCGAAAUUGCUUGCUGUUUGGAUAGCAGUAGUAGGUUAAUUUUGAAAAAUCGCCAUAAAUUAUGGAAAUCAAAUUAGAGGAUGAAAAAAAAUAUAGAAUUAAAUCUUAUUGAGUCUAGUUUCUCAUAGAAGAAGCGAUGUAAAUAAUGGAAUUGUAAAUCGAGAGAUAUAAUAAACUUUGUGAGACAAGGUUAGAAUGAAUUCCGGUUCCCCUGUUCUGACUUUGGAAAAUCAUCAAAAAUUGGACAAAAAUAAUUAUGGGUUAAAAUUUACAUGUUUAAAUUAUUAAUGAGUCUACUUUUAAUAGAAAUAAAUGGAAACUUCAUCAAAAAAUUUUACUAAGAUAUAAUUAAUUUUUAGCAAAGAAGGGUUGAAGCUGUCAUACAGCUGAACAGGGGUAAUUUUGAAGAUUUUACUGUACUUAUUGGCUAAACCAAAAAUUUUAAAAAUUUUAUGGUAGAAAGGUAUCUGAGUCUGUUUCAAAGACAUCAAGCAAAUUUUAAUUUGGAAUUUUGUAGCUUAAGAUAUAAAUAAUUUGUAACAGUGACUCAAGUAGACUACUUUGAA
RNAcentral lists this long non-coding RNA (5990 nucleotides) under Gossypium barbadense (sea-island cotton). RNAcentral's name for it is "long non-coding RNA (GBAR_LNC018088)". The record is from RNAcentral. Lineage: Eukaryota; Viridiplantae; Streptophyta; Magnoliopsida; Malvales; Malvaceae.